This 400-nucleotide ribosomal RNA is filed under the name phytoplankton environmental sample. RNAcentral's name for it is "partial small subunit ribosomal RNA". It matches the Rfam family "Eukaryotic small subunit ribosomal RNA", at positions 587 to 985 of the family's 1831-position model. The record is from RNAcentral.
AGCUCCAAUAGCGUAUAUUAAAGUUGUUGCGGUUAAAAAGCUCGUAGUUGGAUUUCGGCGAGCAGGGCGCGGUUCGGUAUUUGCCGCUACUGCGCCAUUUGCUCGUGAUUUUUGGCGGAUUGUUUUGGGGUGCUCUUAAUCGGGUGUCCCAGAGCGCCGCCAGGUUUACUUUGAAAAAAUUAGAGUGCUCAAAGCAGGCUUCACAAGCUUGGAUACUCGUGCAUGGAAUAAUGGAAUAGGACGUCGUUUCUAUUUUGUUGGUUUUCGGAAAUCGACGUAAUGAUUAACAGGGACAGUCGGGGGCAUUAGUAUUCAGACGACAGAGGUGAAAUUCUUGGACCGUCUGAAGACUGACUACUGCGAAAGCAUUUGCCAAGAAUGUUUUCAUUAAUCAAGAACG